RNAcentral lists this non-coding RNA (24 nucleotides) under Cricetulus griseus (Chinese hamster). Lineage: Eukaryota; Metazoa; Chordata; Mammalia; Rodentia; Cricetidae. The record is from RNAcentral.
CAGGCACAAUGGCAGGACUGCUGG